This 80-nucleotide transfer RNA is filed under the name Ipomoea nil (Japanese morning glory). It matches the Rfam family "tRNA". Rfam says of the family: Transfer RNA (tRNA) molecules are approximately 80 nucleotides in length. The record is from Rfam by way of RNAcentral. Lineage: Eukaryota; Viridiplantae; Streptophyta; Magnoliopsida; Solanales; Convolvulaceae.
GACGGUUUGGCUGAGUGGUUUAAGGUGCUAGAUUUAGGCUCUAGUCCGAAAGUGCGUGGGUUCAAAUCUCACAGCUGUCA